CCUACGGGGGCUGCAGUCGAGAAUUUUUCACAAUGGGGGCAACCCUGAUGGAGCGACGCCGCGUGGAGGAUGAAGGUUUUCGGAUUGUAAACUCCUGUCACUACAGAACAAGACUACUAUUAAUAAUACUUUUGGUAGUUGAUGGUAUGUGGAGAGGAAGGGACGGCUAACUCUGUGCCAGCAGCCGCGGUAAUACAGAGGUCCCGAGCGUUGUUCGGAUUCAUUGGGCGUAAAGGGUGUGUAGGAGGUUGGGUAAGUCGAGUGUGAAAUCUCAC
This 275-nucleotide ribosomal RNA is filed under the name uncultured bacterium. Its description in RNAcentral is "partial 16S ribosomal RNA". It matches the Rfam family "Bacterial small subunit ribosomal RNA", at positions 338 to 605 of the family's 1533-position model. The record is from RNAcentral.